CAUGCUAUGGAGACAGGUAAAGCACAAGCUUCCUGGGGUUCAGCUUGCUGUACAUAGAAGCCGAAGGUUAAAAAUUCCUGAUUGGUGGCAGAGGCGAAGAUGAUUUUGGACAUUCCUUAAAUGAUCCUGUACAUUCAUGAUAUUUUCAUCUCUCGCAAGCAAUAUUUCUUUUGAGAGAAUAAUCAGAGGCAGUUACAAACACCAUCAUAUCAUCUGGAUUCGUAAUUUGGAUAACAUAUACUCUUCGGCAAUACAUCAACAGAGAUUUUUUUUUGACAGUGAAGACCUUUGGUCUUGUCUGUGGAAGGCUUAGCAAAUUGUUUUUCUUCUUCUUUCAUUAACACUACAGGAGUCACCGAGUAUGUAAUGAGAGUGUAAUGACACACAGCUGUAAUGUAUUCAUUAGAGUUUAGCAAAGAGCUGAUUACAUUGGCUGUAAUUGUUUCUUUUGAAUCUUUUGCCCAUUAAUAGUGUUCAACAACUUUGUAUUUUGGAUAUGGUGCAACUAUUAUAAAAUUGACUUUACACAAGAAUGAG
RNAcentral lists this unclassified non-coding RNA (537 nucleotides) under Hevea brasiliensis (rubber tree). Lineage: Eukaryota; Viridiplantae; Streptophyta; Magnoliopsida; Malpighiales; Euphorbiaceae. The record is from RNAcentral.